UACGUAGGGUGCAAGCGUUAAUCGGAAUUACUGGGCGUAAAGCGUGCGCAGGCGGUUUUGUAAGUCUGACGUGAAAUCCCCGGGCUCAAACCUGGGAAUUCGCGUUGGAGACUGCAAGGCUAGAAUCUGGCAGAGGGGGGUAGAAUUCCACGUGUGAGCAGUGAAAUGCGUAGAGAUAGUGGGAGAACACCGGAAUGGCGAAGGC
RNAcentral lists this ribosomal RNA (205 nucleotides) under uncultured bacterium. RNAcentral's name for it is "partial 16S ribosomal RNA". It matches the Rfam family "Bacterial small subunit ribosomal RNA", at positions 524 to 722 of the family's 1533-position model. The record is from RNAcentral.